CCCUAGUACUAAUAAUGUAAAGUAAUUAGUAUAAGUGGAAUUUAAUAAUUUUGGCGGUUAAUUGUUGAUUAGAGGAGCUUGUUUAUAUGGAAAUAGCUCUUUAUAUUUUUUUAAUAAAAGAUUUAUUCAUCUCCGUUGUUAGAUAUGUGAUUGAAAGAAUUAUUUUUAGUAUUUCAGGUCAAGAUGUAGUUUUUAUUAUAAUACGGAAUUAGCUACAUUUAUGUAAUAAUGGAAUAUUGGGAAGAAGUUUUUUAGGAAAUUGAAUUUAGUUGUAAUAUUAAUUAGAAAGUUAAUAUGAAGGUUAAUUGAUUAGUGUA
This 317-nucleotide ribosomal RNA is filed under the name Metagonyleptes calcar. Its description in RNAcentral is "partial 12S ribosomal RNA". The record is from RNAcentral. Lineage: Eukaryota; Metazoa; Arthropoda; Arachnida; Opiliones; Gonyleptidae.